Long non-coding RNA from Triticum dicoccoides, 119 nucleotides. RefSeq lists it as uncharacterized. NCBI's taxonomy places the organism in Eukaryota, Viridiplantae, Streptophyta, Magnoliopsida, Poales, Poaceae. The transcript is spliced from 3 exons. The record is from RefSeq and is a predicted model, not a curated record.
UUGCCUUGUUGGCAACAUUGUGAGAUCAUGACCAAGCAUGACAAGAAUGGAGGCUCGUCAACCACCUACCAGCACACCUAUCAUGACCGAUGAUGAGACGCUGAAGGUUACGAGAGAUG